RNAcentral lists this long non-coding RNA (2418 nucleotides) under Malus domestica (apple). RNAcentral describes it as "long non-coding RNA (MDOM_LNC005554)". The record is from RNAcentral. Lineage: Eukaryota; Viridiplantae; Streptophyta; Magnoliopsida; Rosales; Rosaceae.
AAAGCUCUGCUAACUAGAACCUGGAGGGGCGAAAAACAAAAUUGAGUGGGUCAGUAAAACCAAAGCUUUUCAAAAACAUUUCGCCAAAAAAAUAGUUCUAACCCCUCUCUGUAAAACCUGUAUACUUUUCCCAGAAAAUAACAUAAUAGUAUAUAACAAAAAAAAAUCCUCAUAUCUCAAAUCAUCAAUCUGUAUCAAAAUCCAGAAAUCAUGCCAUGCCAUAAAGUCAAAAUAGAAUAUGGAUGCAUCAAUAUAACAGGUGAAAUAAUAAAUCAACAGAAGACCCUACAAGGGUCCUGUACGGCUGAUUCUAAAGCUCAACAUCCCACUCAGUCGGAGUCACCACAGUGACCUAUAUGGCCCUGCUGAAGUCACCAACUGUGACCUGUACGACACUACACUGCACAUCACUCGGAACUACGUAUAGUAGUCUGUACGAUGAAAGGUGUAUAAAUACGCUCUAGUGCUUCUCUCAUCAAUCAUCAGCGCGCAUAACUAAGGUCACUCACUAGUUGGAAUCACACCUGGUGAUCUAUACAACUAGCAUGUCGGAACCCUCACAUGGUCUGUACGACAUCCACCUACUUGGAUCCAAGGUGAGCGUGCAGUGUGGUGAAUAACAAUAUAAGCACUAACACCUAAGUCCAGGUUAUGAGCUUUCAAUGUAAUUCAUAUAAAAUAACUCAUCUGAAAGAUAAUAAAACUCACCUGUGCGUCCACCGCGUCAAUUCACAUAUAUAUGCAUCAAUUCUCAAUUCAAAUAUCUCAACAUUUGCAUGCAUGGCAAUUUAAAUCAUAAUUUUCAUAUAAACGCAUUUUCUGGGAAAAACAGUUGUAUAUAGGUAAUACGAAAUCAAAACUGCCCACUCACCUGGAGUUCUCCCUACAACUCCCUAGCACAAUACGCCAAGGCGUCAUGACGAUCGGCGCCUAAAACAAUAAUCAAAUCCAACCUCAGAAUUCAUAUCAAUAGAAUAUAUAACUUAUAUAAAAUACGUCACUACGUAGUUCGAUCCGGAAGAUCUGCCACUCAGAUUUUAAAUCCAUAACUUCGAGAGGUCCACAAUAUAUCUCUAGGACCACAUCCUAAAAUUUCAUUACCAUCCAACGGUCGGAUCUCCGUCAAUUUCCAAAACCAAGUGACGGUUAACAUUCUAUUUUAUGAACUUGAACUCCAAUUCCGGAAGAUCCGUAACUCGGAUUCCCAAUCCGUAAGUUCCUAUAAUCCUCAAAUAUUAUGUAUUACAACGUAUCAAAGUUUGGUGACGAUCCAACGGUCGGAUCGUCAAUUCACAUUUUUACCUAUAUGCGAAAUAAUUAUAAAACGUUAUUUAAAGCACCUAACCAACAAUUCUUAAUAACUUCUCAUACGGUGCUCAAAUUGGGGAUAUGAAUAUACCACAGUGAUCUACACAACCUCAGGAUCAUCCCCAAAUUUUUAAAAUAAUUUUUGGACUGUUCACACGCCGACACAUGCACGGCCAGACGCGCCCCCACGCGCGGCCACGUGCACUGCACACUGACGGCGUCAGUUAACGCCGUCAGGUAUAUUCCGAGAAUAUUCCGUUUGUCCUUUAAUAAAACUUAACGGCGUAACUUAACGCCGUUAGAAUAUUCCGUUUAACUUAACGGAAUAUUCCUCUUUCUUCUUCCUUCAGCUCCGGCGACCGUCGCCGUCGCCGGAAACUGGGUAAAUUUUCUAAGUUCGAUUUCUCACUUGAUUUUCAUCCAAUUUCUACGAAAUUUGUACCAAAAGAAAGCUGGAGAGGAGUAGAACAACAUUAUACCUCUUUCAAACUUCAAAACCCACGGGAUCUCGUUGGGAAAAAUCCAAGAAAACCGGCCAACUUCGAAUUUCACGAUCCCAACGUCCAAUUUCUUCCAACGAACCACUCCGAGCCUCCUUGUGACCUCCUUAAACUCCCUAUGAGCUUAGAUUUCCUUAAAACACAACAUUUUACGUUUGCAUGAAUAGUGUUCAAAAUUGGAGUUGUGAUUUCGACGUGAAAUCGAAAGAUUUCUUACCUGAAAUGGGUGUGGUUGAGUUCGUAUAGUCCUCACGAGCACGAUGGUACCCUCACAAUCUUCGAUCCGUGGAGUUUUGGAGUUCUUGGCCCUUGUCCGUACCUUCGAGGGUGAGAGAGAGAGGAAGUUGACGGGGAGGAGAGAGAGACACGGGGGAAAGAGAGAGGGAUGAGGUGUAUGUGUGUGGUCCAACCACAAUCCAAAAUCUAUUUCUUACCACACAAAACACAAACCAAAAUUUAAUCUACAUAAAUAUAAUUUCCAAAAGUUUAUGAAAUGUGUGCAUUUAGUCCAAAAUAUAUCUCACACACACAUACCUUAGUCACGUUAAGGUCAUUUCCGUCAUUUCACAUUCCCGAUAUAGAAAUCCCGGGACGGGCUGUGAUAAUUUAU